AUGAUCACAUGCCAGUGGUUCUUGACGGCGUUGUCGGUGCGGCCCGGGAAGAGCCUGGCGAUGACGGCCCACCGGUUGCCGUGGACGCGGUGCGAGGCGAGGAGCAGCUCCUCCUCCUCCUCCGAGAAGGGGCUCCGGUUGAUCCUCGGGUCCAGCUGGUUGAACCACCUCAGCCUGCAGCUCUUCCCUGAAACCACACAACGGGUCAUUUUCCAUGGGUUAAUUAAUCAUCUAAGAAGCUUAGACGAUGUGCUUCAACGACACCAUGGAUAG
This 273-nucleotide ribosomal RNA is filed under the name Triticum aestivum (bread wheat). RNAcentral describes it as "partial small subunit ribosomal RNA". Lineage: Eukaryota; Viridiplantae; Streptophyta; Magnoliopsida; Poales; Poaceae. The record is from RNAcentral.